RNAcentral lists this small RNA (3514 nucleotides) under Pan troglodytes (chimpanzee). RNAcentral's name for it is "retained intron". The record is from RNAcentral. Lineage: Eukaryota; Metazoa; Chordata; Mammalia; Primates; Hominidae.
CGACUUCCUGCCCCGCCAGAGCCAGGAAGCGGGAGCCGGGACCCAGGGCCCGGGAUCGCCGAGCCCGACCUCGGGCGCCCCGCCGGUCACCUCCGCGCGGACACCAGCCCUGCAGAGCCCAGGGAGAUGGAAGACUUCGCCCGAGGGGCGGCCUCCCCAGGCCCCUCCCGGCCUGGCCUGGUUCCCGUCAGCAUCAUCGGGGCUGAGGAUGAGGAUUUUGAGAACGAGCUGGAGACAAACUCGGAAGAGCAAAACAGCCAGUUCCAGAGCCUGGAGCAGGUGAAGCGGCGCCCAGCCCACCUCAUGGCCCUCCUGCAGCACGUGGCCCUGCAGUUUGAGCCAGGACCCCUGCUUUGCUGUCUGCAUGCCGACAUGCUGGGCUCACUGGGCCCCAAGGAGGCCAAGAAGGCCUUCCUGGACUUCUACCACAGCUUCCUGGAGAAGACAGCGGUGAGAGACCUUCAAGCUGCCCCAACCCUGCAAUCCCUGUUUGGGCCUGCAGAGUCACCAUGCGGUCCCCAACCUCUGCCCUGAGGGCAGCUGCUGACCCAGGCCUUCCCCAGCACCCUCGCUUAGACCAGGGUUCCUGGCAGUCCUCCCGGCCUGCAUCUCAGCACACCAAGUCCUCCUCUUCACCCCAUUCUCUCUCUUGAGCAGGUUCUCCGGGUGCCGGUCCCUCCCAACGUCGCCUUUGAACUUGACCGCACUAGGGCUGACCUCAUCUCCGAGGAUGUCCAGCGGCGGUUCGUGCAGGAGGUGGUGCAAAGCCAGCAGGCAGCCGUGGGCCGGCAGCUGGAGGACUUCCGCUCCAAGCGGCUCAUGGGCAUGACGCCCUGGGAGCAGGAGCUGGCCCAGCUGGAGGCUUGGGUUGGGCGGGACCGAGCCAGCUACGAGGCCCGGGAGCGGCACGUGGCGGAGCGGCUGCUCAUGCACCUGGAGGAGAUGCAACAUACCAUCUCUACCGACGAAGAAAAGAGUGCUGCCGUGGUCAACGCCAUUGGCCUGUACAUGCGCCACCUUGGGGUGCGGACCAAGAGUGGAGACAAGAAGUCGGGGAGGAACUUCUUCCGGAAAAAGGUGAUGGGGAACCGGCGGUCGGACGAGCCUGCCAAGACCAAGAAGGGGCUGAGCAGCAUCCUGGAUGCCGCCCGCUGGAACCGGGGAGAGCCCCAGGGUAAGGCGGCUCUGGACUCUGCCCUCCCCUGUCUUCCCCAGCUGCUCCCACUCACUGUCUCAUUCUCUCUCAUUUCAGUUCCAGAUUUUCGACACCUCAAAGCAGAGGUUGAUGCCGAGAAGCCAGGUGCUACAGACCGGAAGGGAGGCGUGGGGAUGCCCUCUCGGGACCGGAAUAUCGGGGCUCCUGGGCAGGACACCCCUGGAGUCUCUCUGCACCCUCUGUCCCUGGACAGCCCAGACCGGGAACCAGGUGCUGACGCCCCCCUGGAGCUGGGGGACUCAUCCCCACAGGGCCCAAUGAGCCUGGAGUCCUUGGCGCCCCCAGAGAGUACCGAUGAGGGGGCCGAAACCGAGAGCCCCGAGCCUGGAGAUGAGGGGGAGCCGGGGCGGUCGGGACUGGAGCUUGAACCAGAAGAGCCUCCCGGCUGGCGGGAACUCGUCCCCCCAGACACCCUGCACAGCCUGCCCAAGAGCCAGGUGAAGCGGCAGGAGGUCAUCAGCGAGCUGCUGGUGACAGAGGCGGCCCACGUGCGCAUGCUGCGGGUGCUGCACGACCUCUUCUUCCAGCCCAUGGCAGAAUGCCUGUUCUUCCCCUUGGAGGAGCUGCAGAACAUCUUCCCCAGCCUGGACGAGCUCAUCGAGGUGCAUUCCCUGUUCCUCGAUUCCCUGGUGAAGCGGAGGCAGGAGAGUGGCUACCUCAUCGAGGAGAUCGGAGACGUGCUGCUGGCCCGGUUUGAUGGUGCUGAGGGCUCCUGGUUCCAGAAAAUCUCCUCCCGCUUCUGCAGCCGCCAGUCAUUUGCCUUAGAGCAGCUCAAAGCCAAGCAACGCAAGGACCCUCGGUUCUGUGCCUUCGUGCAGGAAGCUGAGAGCCGCCCGCGGUGCCGCCGCCUGCAGCUGAAGGACAUGAUCCCCACGGAGAUGCAGCGGCUAACCAAGUACCCCCUGCUCCUGCAGAGCAUCGGGCAGAACACAGAAGAGCCCACAGAACGGGAGAAAGUGGAGCUGGCAGCCGAGUGCUGCCGGGAAAUUCUACACCACGUCAACCAAGCCGUGCGUGACAUGGAGGACCUGCUGAGGCUCAAGGACUAUCAGCGGCGCCUGGACUUGUCCCACCUUCGGCAGAGCAGCGACCCUAUGCUGAGCGAAUUCAAGAACCUGGACAUCACCAAGAAAAAAUUGGUCCACGAGGGCCCACUGACGUGGCGGGUGACUAAGGACAAGGCAGUGGAGGUGCAUGUGCUGCUGCUGGACGACCUGCUGCUGCUGCUCCAGCGCCAGGACGAGCGGCUGCUGCUCAAGUCCCAUAGCCGGACACUGACGCCCACACCCGAUGGCAAGACCAUGCUGCGGCCCGUGCUGCGGCUCACCUCCGCCAUGACCCGCGAGGUGGCCACCGAUCACAAAGCCUUCUACGUCCUUUUUACCUGGGACCAGGAGGCCCAGAUAUACGAGCUGGUGGCACAGACUGUGUCGGAGCGGAAAAACUGGUGUGCCCUCAUCACUGAGACUGCCGGAUCCCUGAAAGUCCCUGCCCCUGCCUCUCGCCCUAAGCCCCGGCCCAGCCCGAGCAGCACCCGAGAACCCCUCCUCAGCAGCUCUGAGAACGGCAAUGGUGGCCGAGAGACGUCUCCAGCUGAUGCCCGGACUGAGAGAAUCCUCAGUGACCUCCUGCCCUUCUGCAGACCAGGCCCCGAGGGCCAGCUCGCUGCCACGGCCCUUCGGAAAGUGCUGUCCCUGAAGCAGCUUCUGUUUCCGGCGGAGGAAGACAAUGGGGCGGGGCCUCCUCGAGAUGGGGAUGGGGUCCCAGGGGGCGGCCCCCUGAGCCCAGCACGGACCCAGGAAAUCCAGGAGAACCUGCUCAGCUUGGAGGAGACCAUGAAGCAGCUGGAGGAGUUGGAGGAGGAAUUUUGCCGCCUGCGACCCCUCCUGUCUCAGCUUGGGGGGAACUCUGUCCCCCAGCCUGGCUGCACUUGAGGUUCCCGCCCAGGAAGGCCUUUUGCAAGGAGAGGAAUGGGGGAGAGGACGUGAGGGACCACCCCCACCCACACAGCUGCCGCAGCAUCUCACACCCCGAGGGCCUGAGGAGAGGGAGCUGUGGGCCACGCCUGGGAGGGGCCCAGCUGGGGUUACUGGCCCCGCAUGAGCCUCGGCCAUCUCUCCCUCCUGCCCUCUGCUUGGGGGACUCAGGGCUCCAUUCUGGAGGGCACCACGGUGACCCGGGCCAUCUCAGUAUUGCCUGUGGGGGCCACCCCUCCACCCCCACCCCCAAGUGCCUUCGCUCUGUUUUUAUACCCUGAAUUGGAGGUUUAUUUUUUAAUAUAUAUUAUCUAAGAAGAGA